This 636-nucleotide ribosomal RNA is filed under the name Burkholderia sp. RNAcentral's name for it is "bacterial SSU rRNA". It matches the Rfam family "Bacterial small subunit ribosomal RNA", at positions 121 to 752 of the family's 1533-position model. Lineage: Bacteria; Pseudomonadati; Pseudomonadota; Betaproteobacteria; Burkholderiales; Burkholderiaceae. The record is from RNAcentral.
GGAACGUGUCCUGUAGUGGGGGAUAGCCCGGCGAAAGCCGGAUUAAUACCGCAUACGAUCUAUGGAUGAAAGCGGGGGAUCUUCGGACCUCGUGCUAUAGGGGCGGCCGAUGGCAGAUUAGCUAGUUGGUGGGGUAAAGGCCCACCAAGGCGACGAUCUGUAGCUGGUCUGAGAGGACGACCAGCCACACUGGGACUGAGACACGGCCCAGACUCCUACGGGAGGCAGCAGUGGGGAAUUUUGGACAAUGGGGGCAACCCUGAUCCAGCAAUGCCGCGUGUGUGAAGAAGGCCUUCGGGUUGUAAAGCACUUUUGUCCGGAAAGAAAUCCUAGAGGCUAAUAUCCUGUGGGGAUGACGGUACCGGAAGAAUAAGCACCGGCUAACUACGUGCCAGCAGCCGCGGUAAUACGUAGGGUGCGAGCGUUAAUCGGAAUUACUGGGCGUAAAGCGUGCGCAGGCGGUUCGCUAAGACCGAUGUGAAAUCCCCGGGCUUAACCUGGGAACUGCAUUGGUGACUGGCGGGCUAGAGUAUGGCAGAGGGGGGUAGAAUUCCACGUGUAGCAGUGAAAUGCGUAGAGAUGUGGAGGAAUACCGAUGGCGAAGGCAGCCCCCUGGGCCAAUACUGACGCUCAUGC